GGAACCCUUAGAACCCCGUGGGUUGUGUGUUAAUAGUGCUGUCUUUGGCCGGACAGGACGGUUAGUGAAUC
This 71-nucleotide non-coding RNA is filed under the name uncultured Prevotella sp. RNAcentral describes it as "L13-Bacteroidia ribosomal protein leader". It matches the Rfam family "L13-Bacteroidia ribosomal protein leader". Lineage: Bacteria; Pseudomonadati; Bacteroidota; Bacteroidia; Bacteroidales; Prevotellaceae. The record is from RNAcentral.